RNAcentral lists this ribosomal RNA (467 nucleotides) under uncultured bacterium. RNAcentral describes it as "bacterial SSU rRNA". It matches the Rfam family "Bacterial small subunit ribosomal RNA", at positions 29 to 506 of the family's 1533-position model. The record is from RNAcentral.
AUGAACGUUGGCGGUGUGCCUAAUACAUGCAAGUCGAACGGUGGUUAUUUUGUAGUAAUACGAAGUGAUCAUAGUGGCGAACGGGUGAGUAACGCGUUGGUGAUCUGCCUCGAAGUGUGGAAUAACGUUCCGAAAGGAACGCUAAUACCGCAUGUGCUCUCGAUUUUUAGAAACUUGAGAGUAAAGGAUUUAUUCGCUUCGAGAGGAGCCUGCGUCCCAUCAGCUAGUUGGUAAGGUAAUGGCCUACCAAGGCAAUGACGGGUAGGGGACCUGAGAGGGUGGCCCCCCACAAUGGAACUGAAACACGGUCCAUACACCUACGGGUGGCAGCAGUAGGGAAUAUUAGAAAUGGACGAAAGUCUGAUCUAGCGACACCGCGUGUGCGAUGAAGGCCUUCGGGUUGUAAAGCACUUUUUGGAAGGAAUAGGAAGGAAGGUACUUCCAGAAUAAGUCUCGGCUAACUACGU